This 496-nucleotide ribosomal RNA is filed under the name uncultured bacterium. Its description in RNAcentral is "partial 16S ribosomal RNA". It matches the Rfam family "Bacterial small subunit ribosomal RNA", at positions 29 to 507 of the family's 1533-position model. The record is from RNAcentral.
AUGAACGCUGGCGGCGUGCCUAAUACAUGCAAGUCGAGCGAACGGACGAGAAGCUUGCUUCUCUGAUGUUAGCGGCGGACGGGUGAGCAACACGUGGAUAACCUACCUAUAAGACUGGGAUAACUUCGGGAAACCGUAGCUAAUACCGGAUAAUAUUUUGAACCGCAUGGUUCAAAAGUGAAAGACGGUCUUGCUGUCACUUAUAGAUGGAUCCGCGCUGCAUUAGCUAGUUGGUAAGGUAACGGCUUACCAAGGCAACGAUGCAUAGCCGACCUGAGAGGGUGAUCGGCCACACUGGAACUGAGACACGGUCCAGACUCCUACGGGAGGCAGCAGUAGGGAAUCUUCCGCAAUGGGCGAAAGCCUGACGGAGCAACGCCGCGUGAGUGAUGAAGGUCUUCGGAUCGUAAAACUCUGUUAUUAGGGAAGAACAUAUGUGUAAGUAACUGUGCACAUCUUGACGGUACCUAAUCAGAAAGCCACGGCUAACUACGUG